RNAcentral lists this ribosomal RNA (459 nucleotides) under uncultured bacterium. Its description in RNAcentral is "partial 16S ribosomal RNA". It matches the Rfam family "Bacterial small subunit ribosomal RNA", at positions 338 to 795 of the family's 1533-position model. The record is from RNAcentral.
CCUACGGGUGGCAGCAGUGAGGAAUAUUGGUCAAUGGGCGCGAGCCUGAACCAGCCAAGUCGCGUGAGGGAAGACGGUCCUAUGGAUUGUAAACCUCUUUUGUCGGGGAGCAAAAGACGCCACGCGUGGCGUUCUGAGAGUACCCGAAGAAAAAGCAUCGGCUAACUCCGUGAAAGCAGCCGCGGUAAUCCGGAGGAGGCGAGCGUUAUCCGGAUUUAGUGGGUUAAAAGGGUGCGCAGGCGGAAGAUCAAGUCAGCGGUAAAAGUGAGGGGCUAAACCUCUUAGAGCCGUUGAAACUGGGUAUCUUGAGUGAGUGAGAGGUAAGCGGAAUGCGUGGUGUAGCGGUGAAAUGCAUAGAUAUCACGAGGAACUCCGGUUGCGAAGGCGGCAUACCGGCGCUCAACUGACGCUGAGGCACGAAAGUGUGGGUAGCGAACAGGAUUAGAUACCCUAGUAGUC